GCCCAACUAAUUAAAGGAAGAAGAACAAUUAUAUAUCGACUCCUGGAUAUGGAUAGUUUUUCUCGACUGCUUAUACCGUACAGAAACUAGACACGAAGAUAGCAGGAGACAUAACAAAGAAGAAACAAAAGGACGCGCACUCGGAAUUUCAUGUAUGGAAGACACUCUUCCGUCACAUUUCUUUUUUACUUCAACCAACAUUUCUCACUUUCAUUUUGUACUGUGCUCCCCCGUUUACCUCCCGGUAGAAAGUCACAAUAUCUCCACUUUUGAGGCCAGCAUGGCGAGCAAUGCCAUGCCAACCUCUUGUAAAUACAAGCUUUCCUGAUCUGGUGGAGCAGUGAAUUGUCACCGGGUCCGGUAAACGGGUGCCGGCAGAUGACUCAACUAUGGUGGACAAUUCUCGGUGUUCUAGGUUAGCAUCGCGUGGCAGCACCAAUCCCCUCUCAAGAUCAAUAGAGUUGAGUUGCUUUGUGAAGAUUUCCAUGGCAAUAUAAUGAGAAUUAUUGCUAUGAAAUAAUUAGGUUAAAGAAGGUUUUGUGUGUUUGUAGUGAAAGACCUCGAAGUUAUUUAUAGAGAAAUCAGUGAUGUUAAAGAAGGUUUUGUGUGUUUGUAGGUUAACUAGGUUGCGCGAAAUGUCUCGUUUCACUCUCCUUUUAUUAUUAAUUGACGUAUGAACUUAUUCCACACAUAAUUGUUCUAGAAACAAUUUAAUUCUCUGAAUUCCAAUGUUUUGUUGGUCAAUGCUUUCAGCACGAAAAAUCUCUAUAGUUUGAACAAGCAAGAUCUUAUCAGCAAUUAUCUCAAGUUUUUCUGAUAGAGAUUUGGCCCUUUUCAGUGAGUGAUGGAGCAUUCCAGACAUUCAUUAAUUUCGCGCCCUACGAAAGGUUAUGUUCUUACGGAAACUUGGCAAUUUAAGUGCAUGCACGGAUACGCACUAUUUUCUCCCAGCUAACAAUCUUUUUUUAUAUAUAAUAAAUAAAUAUUAUUGGACGUUCAUCGUUUGUGUCGACGAUUGAUAGAUCGAUAAAUGACAUAGAAUUAAGAUAGAAUGAGGUUAGAACGAUUUAUGCACCAAAGGUAGAUGGUAAGUGUUUUGAAUCAGUCAUUUGCUUCCAGCUAUAUAUAUAUCCACCGACCAUUUAGACAUGAAUUGUGAAAUGGUCCGCUGUCAGUCAGCAAUUCAACUAUUUAUUGGUUUAUCAACACUUUUUCUGAUAAAAAUUAUAUGAAUUUUCAAUUAAACUAUUUUUAUAUAUGCCAGCUCUUUAAUUUCUGCAUGCUAUGACAGCGAUGUAUUAUACGAGGUAGUGCGCUACCGCUCAAAAUCUUUUCACGUUUAUAAGGGCAUAAAUUUAUUUGAUUGUACAUACUAGUUAAAAAAUACUCUAAUUAAUAUCAUAUUAAAUAAUCAUCAAAAGAUUAGGUUUUAAAUUUGAUUUAUAUGAUAAUAAUGUAUUAACUCGUUAAUGGGGUUAUAUAAAGAUGCCAUCCUUUUGUUUUUCCUUAUCCAUCGCGCGCAACAAAUAGAGAAAUUUGAUCAAAUAUCACCUUUUUUUCUUGUUUCAAUAUAAUUGAUGAUUAUAGAUGCUGUUAUCCAUUUUUUGAUCCCCACACAAUGAAGAAAAAACAUCAAAAAAAGAUUAUCGAAAGAAAUCCAAAAAAAUAUAUUACAAUGAGAAGAGGACACAGGAACGCCCGGAAAAUAGCCAAAAAUUGGUUGAGGAAGUUCAAAAAAUAAAAAGAUUAAAAUUUGACAAUAUAUUUUUUACUGAUGAAGACUCUAUUGACAAAGAAAAUUCAAUUUUCAAUUCGAGGACGAAAAGUCCAAAAUCAGAUGUUUAAGGACUCAAUUGCAUUUUGUUGAAAGAUUAAUUGAGUUUAUGAAGGGUUUGAUUGUAAGAAAAAAUAAUUUUUAAGUCAAUUUAGGCUUUAAUUGAAAGAAAUUAAAGUUCGGGGGUCGAAUUACAAUUUUUAAGAGUUAAUUUGGUCAAAUCAGGGGCUUAAGUGCAUAAAUAUUAAAUUUUGAUGGGCAAUUAGGGACUUAAUCGAAGAAAUCCAAAACCAAGAACCAAACUGAAAAAUAUGUGUAAAUAUAAGGGCUGAAAUUGACGGAAUCAGGGGUCAAAUUAAAAAAAAUUAGAAGUUAGUUUAUCAAUUAAGGGUCAAAAUGCACAAAUUUAAAACCAAUGAUCAAAAUGGAAAAGGCGGCCAACUUCAGAGCUGACAUUUGGAUUUGGUAAGGAUGCAAUUGAAUUGAUUAUUAAAAUCAAAAUCUCAAUUGCGUACUUGAUUGAAUAAAUAAAAAAUUAAAGACUGAUUUGGAAAAAAACUCUUUUUUGCACCUUUUUCUUUUAAAUGAAAUGACGCAUUUUGUAAAAAAAACAGCGUCGUUUCAUUCAUUCUUCAUUGAAAAAAAAACUGCAAAUGAUGUCGUUUUGAUGGCAUUGUUUGUCAUCUUCUUCCACUUGACUCGCAAUGGCAAGGGAAGAAGGUUUUUCUUUCCCUCCUUUGUAGCGCCUGUUUCUCUCUCUCUCUCUCUUAGAAACCCAAAAAAACAAGCACGACCCACACUCCUCUCAUGGCCUCUAUAUAUUGAGACGAAAAAACAGAGGGGACAAGCCUUGUGGAUGGCCUUGGGGAAGCUGCCCAAUGGCCGCCCAGCCACCCUACCCAUUCAACACGAUUGGACAGUGGUAGGGUGGCUCUCUCCCCCCUAUAAAUACUCCUUUAUCAGGCGGUAGAGAGUAUGGAUCGAGAGGUGAAUGGGUUUGAUUGUUAAUGCUAACUAGAGCAACUAGUGAGGAUGGAGAGGUGCCUGAGGUUGAAGGAGAUGAAGACGUGGUCAGUGGGGCUGUUGUGGGGGAGAUGGAGACUGGUUUGGGAGGAAGAGAGGGUAGUGGCGGCUAGGUUUAGGUUUUAAGAUCAUAGAUCUAGAGUUUUUUCUUUAGGGUAUUUUUUUAUGGCUCCCCCUCCUUUUUGUGUGUGUGUGGACACCAAUUUAUAGGUGGAAAAUUGUCUUCUUUUUCAAUUGCUUGGGUCCAAAAUUUGUAUUUUGGUUUUUUAGAAAAAUAGCAAUAUUAAUAUCGAUUCAAUGAGAAAAAUCAAUGAUUUUGAAAAAGUUAAGAUUAGAGAGAUAGUCUUUGUAUAAUUGUGAUGGAUGAUUGAUAAACCAACCAUCCCUUUGUAUUUAUACCUUUAGGGUUGUAUACAAUACAAUGGUGGAAUGUACUACACAUGAUAACUAUCCCUAUAUAUAAUGUAUUUACAUAUAUGUGGACUCUUUCUUUAAUACACCCCGUCAAGCUGAAGGUGGAGAUUCCACCCGAAGCUUGGAUCUAAAAUAAGCAAAUGAGACUGGAGGGAGAGGCUUGGUAAGAACAUCCGUGAGUUGAUCCUUUGAAGAGAUGAAUCGUACCUGAAUUUAUCUCUUAGCAACGCGAUCAUGGACAAAAUGAUAAUCAACUUCAACAGGUUUAGUACGAGCGUGGAACAACGGAUUGGCAGAUAAGAAAGUGGCCCCUAAGUUAUCACACCAUAACAUAGUCAUGGACGAAGUGGAAAUCCAAAGUUCCGCCAAUAAAGAACGAAUCCAUAAAAUUUCAACUGUACCAUCAACUAAGGCUUUGUAUUCUGGUUUUGUAGAAGAUCUAGCAACAGUGCGUUGUUUCCCGGAUUUCCAUGAGAUAGGUGUAGAACCAAGGUAUACAAGAUAACCACCUGUUGAUUUACCUGCCCAGUAAGCAUCUAUGAAACCAUGAAGAGUCAAAAGAGAGUCUCGAGUAAUGUGCAGACCAUAGGUUGUUGUAGCCUGCAGGUAACGUAGGAUACGUUUAACAGCAGCUCAAUGAUCAUCAGUAGGGGCAUGCAUAAAUUGACAUACUUUGUUGACUGCAUAGCAAAUAUCAGGUCGAGUGAAUGUAAGAUAUCGCAGUGCUCCAACAAUAUGUCGAUAUCGUGUCGGAUCAGAGUGAAGAGUACCAGGCACAAUUCCUAGUUUAGAGGAGGUAGACAGAGGAGUAUCAACCGGUUUACAGGAAGCCAUACCUACUCGUUGGAUAAUAUCGAGUGCAUACUUGUGUUGACUUAACAAGAUACCCAUAGCUGUGGGUUUAACUUCAAUCCCCAAGAAGAAAUGAACAGAACCCAAAUCCCGAAACUUAAAUUCUGUUUGCAGUAAAGUAAUCAAUCUAUGAAGCAAGGCUGAGUUACUCCCGGUCAAUAAAAUAUCAUCCACAUACACAAGCAGAUAAAUCAUGGCACCAUUGAGAGAGAGAAUAAACAGAGAAGUGUCAACCUUGGAUGCCAGAAAUCCAAUGGAAAGGAGGAACUCGCUCAACCUGUUGUACCAAGCUCGAGGUGCUUGUUUCAAGCCAUACAAAGAUUUAUGAAGACGACACACAUGAGAUGACAUGACAGAAUCAGCAAACCCCGGUGGUUGUGCCAUGUAUACCUCCUCUUGAAGAAUGCCAUUUAAGAAAGCAUUAUGAACAUCCAACUGGUGAAUAUUCCAACCAUACGAGAGUGAGCACUAGACUUUUAUUUUUGGAUGCUUUCUCCAACUGGAUUUUUUUUUACUUGCCUUUUUUUUUUGGGUGCGUGAGGUGUGCUGUGUGUUUUGGGGGGUUUGGGUAUUUCAAGGGCUAGAUUUAUGUUGGGUUUAUGUGGAGAGUUUGUUUAGUUGUGGAAAUGAGUUUUCGUCUGUUAUUGGGUUGCUUACAAUUCUCGAUUAUUAUUAAAAAAAAAAAAAAAAUGCCACGCUAGCCACCGUUUGCAUAUCAAUCUCACCAUGCAUGGUUGUGUUGUCUCCAGAUAGCUGACAAUAUAUAAACAAUGAUAGAGUUAUGGUCUGAAAAUUAACAAUGCAUUCUUCAAAUGAUCCAAACUAAUCUUCAAUACAAAUAGACAGCUGUACCAUGACAGGUCUGCCAAGAAUCACAAAAAAAAAAAAAAAAGGGUAAAGAAAAGUAGCGAAGUGGCCCCACAUAAUCUAGACCUGGUUAAGCCGCAACAUGCAUGGGAAAUAUUUUUUAAUUUUUAUAUAUAAAAUCACAAUUCACUCAAGUGAAUGAAUUUAUGGAUUAAACUAUUAAAUUAAUUGGAUUUAAGUAGAUAAUUCUUACGGAACUAUCAAAUUCAAGAAGCAGAGGGGAUUAGUUAUUCCUAGAGAUGGGAUAACACAGCACUGCCGUUUUGUUUUCAAUGUAGUGUAGUAGGAGCAGACAAAGCACGAGCAAAAAUGGCAAAUCAUUAGGUGAUCAUGGAAGACUAAUAGGAACACACAAGUGAUCAUUAUACAUAUAAAAAAACGAACUAAACAUUCUUCAACUGACACUGCGACGUGGCCCAACUAAUUAAAGGAAGAAGAACAAUUAUAUAUCGACUCCUGGAUAUGGAUAGUUUUUCUCGACUGCUUAUACCGUACAGAAACUAGACACGAAGAUAGCAGGAGACAUAACAAAGAAGAAACAAAAGGACGCGCACUCGGAAUUUCAUGUAUGGAAGACAGUCUUCCGUCACAUUUCUUUUUUACUUCAACCAACAUUUCUCACUUUCAUUUUGUACUGUGCUCCCCCGUUUACCUCCCGGUAGAAAGUCACAAUAUCUCCACUUUUGAGGCCAGCAUGGCUAGCAAUGUCGUGCCAACCUCUUGUAAAUACAAGCUUUCCUGAUCUGGUGCAGCAGUGAAUUGUCACCGGGCCCGGUAAAGGGGUGCCGGCAGAUGACUCAACUAUGGUGGACAGUUCUAUGGUUCCAUGGAAAGGUUGAAGGCGUUCUAGGUUAGAAUCGCGUGGUAGCACCAAUUCUCUCUGAAGAUCAAUAGAGGUGAGUUUCUUUGUGAACAUUUCCAUGGCAAUAUAAUGAGAAUUAUUGCUAUGAAAUAAUUAGGUUAAAGAAGGUUUUGUGUGUUUGUAGUGAAAGACCUCGAAGGUAUUUAUAGAGAAAUCAGUGAUGUUAUGAUAAGCA
This 5967-nucleotide long non-coding RNA is filed under the name Populus trichocarpa (black cottonwood). RNAcentral's name for it is "long non-coding RNA (PTRI_LNC000823)". The record is from RNAcentral. Lineage: Eukaryota; Viridiplantae; Streptophyta; Magnoliopsida; Malpighiales; Salicaceae.